RNAcentral lists this microRNA precursor (257 nucleotides) under Medicago truncatula (barrel medic). Its description in RNAcentral is "MIR2646 microRNA precursor family". It matches the Rfam family "MIR2646 microRNA precursor family". The record is from Rfam by way of RNAcentral. Lineage: Eukaryota; Viridiplantae; Streptophyta; Magnoliopsida; Fabales; Fabaceae.
GUCCCAUGACAUUUAGUGCUGAUGUGUCUGUUUUUUUUAUCAAUUAACGUGUGCCACGUGUGUAAUUCCAUUUUUAAAAAAAUAAAAAAAUGGUAUUUUUCAGAUUUUCAGCACUAAAUUCUAUUGUUGGUCACGUGCCUCCUUCUCUCAAAAUCUGAAAAAUACCAUUUUUUUUAUAUUUUUAAAAAUGGAAUUACACACGUGGCACACAUUAAUUGAUAAAAAAACAGACAUAUCAGCACUAAAUGUCAUGGGGA